Molecule: long non-coding RNA, 367 nt
Filed under: Brassica napus (rape)
Lineage: Eukaryota; Viridiplantae; Streptophyta; Magnoliopsida; Brassicales; Brassicaceae
Description: long non-coding RNA (BNAP_LNC007150)
Source: RNAcentral
UGCAAGUGCUUCAUGUACGUUUGUUGGAAGUAGCUCCGCAAAUGCAAAGGGCAGUAGUCGUUGCAUAAAGACAUGACAAUCAUGACUCUUCAUCCCAGAGAACUUUUGACCCUUUUCAACACAUCUAGAGAGAUUUGAAACAUACCCAUCGGGGAACUUCACUUCUGAUGCCACCCAGUUGAACAACACCGACUUUUUUUCUGAAGACAGUCUGAAUAUCGGAACAGGAACUUGUCCAUUGCUUUUAAUAUGUAACUCGCUUCUUGAGCAAAUAUCCGGCAAGUCCAACCUCGAUUUUAUGUUGUCUUUUGUCUUCCCUGGGACAUUCAAUAUUGUAUUCAUGAUGUUCUCAAAGAAAUUCUUCUCU